Columba livia (rock pigeon) is the source of this 3444-nucleotide long non-coding RNA. RefSeq lists it as uncharacterized. The transcript has 2 exons. NCBI's taxonomy places the organism in Eukaryota, Metazoa, Chordata, Aves, Columbiformes, Columbidae. The record is from RefSeq and is a predicted model, not a curated record.
GCUGCCGAGACAGCUGGCAUGGACUGUCCACUGGGAAAGGAGCCUGGAGAACGAGAAAAAAAGAGGGACAGUUCUUGGUGAUAAACUGGUGACAGACUAUAAAUUAUGAAAAGGGGAUUUGGCAGAGGAUUUAGAGCUUGCUACCUCUGCUUUUCCCUCCCCUGGGAUUUUAAUGCCAGCCAUGUUCACUGAGUCAUUCAAUUAUCUUAGUCAGAAAAUAAGAAGUGUUAAGAGAAAAGGCUUAGAAUAUAUUUUGCUGAGCAGGGUGUGCGCACAUUUGAGCUGAGAUUUAAAAACAUUUAAACCAGCACUUUGUCCCCCAGGCAAACCUUCGGACUGAGCUCCUUAAUGCGAAGCUUACUGAUGCUGCUGUGCCUGGUGCUCGCUCCUGAGGCGGCUGAAUUGCUGCAGUGCUGUUUCAAAGGUCACAAAACAUUUUGUCCUUUUGAUCAAUUUGAAAUUUUUUUCCCUGCUCCUUUUCUAUAGCAGUUCACGUUGGUCCCAAAGAAAAUGGUAGCAACACAGGAGCGCAGCACCUAAUUCUGCAUUUCGCUGUUUCUGGGCAGCAAAGUCAGGGAUGUAGUUGCUCUGAAAAACGCUGUCCUUCACUGGCAGAAAGGAAUCACCAAAGCAUUCGUGGCUGGGAACAACCAGCUCUUUCUGUACUAAAUAUAAAAUGUUUAUGUUCUCAAAAUUAAAAUAUAACAGUUUAAGCAUGCACUGAAAUGAAAUCUGUACAUAAAAGACUGGCAGAGAUGCCAAGCUAAAGAUGCAGGUCCUUUUCUUCCUGCUCCUUUUGAAUGUGUUUCCACAUGAGGACAAGGAUUAAAUUGUUUCUUUCUGUUGCCUUUUUUGUACUCUGAGGAGUUUAGUUAGAAAAGUCAGCAGGUGACGUGUAAGCACUUGUCAUUCUUUGCUGUGUAGCAUUUAUUCCUAAUAUUGUGAUCAGAAAACUAAGAGUCUUCGUGUUAUUUUUGAAGGCUCCUUAUAACUGAGCAACAUCUGUAGUGGGGCUCUUGUGAGGCUGAUUAAUUUGUCUGGGUCUUAUGUAGCUGUAACUGAAAUGAUGGCUGUGUCAACACCAGCAAACCUGAUAUUUGGCAUGGGUAUGUGACUGUGUGUGAGCCCAUAUCAGUGAAUCUAUUUCUACCUCUGUGCACUCCAAACUAAAAUAUAAUGAAGGCAUCCAAUCACCCAACAAGUACCAAACUAAAGUUUAUACACCUUUAUUUUGCAAUGCAUGGUGGCACAGGACAGUUCUGCCACAGCCAUCCAGGACCAGGAGCUACGUUGAGCUGUGGUCAUGGUAGUUACCAUGGGCUUCUUUUUAUUUGCCUGUUUUCUAAGCCAGUAGGGUUUGUUUCAUUCAGUUUUGUGCUUUCUUUCAUGGCCCUGAGGGACAGACAUCUACUUUUUAAUGAAAGCUGAGAUUCUCACAUAAUGAUUUCCACUCAGGAGCUGGAGCUUCAGGAAAAACACCCAUUAUCACAAAACACCACGAAAAAAAUCUCAGGAGAGUUGGCAACAUUAAGUUUAGGUAAGGUUUGAAUGGCUUUGUGGGAGGUUUGUAGAAAAUAUGACUCUGUGGUAUAUAUCAGGUUUAACUAGAUCUUUCUGAAAAUUCUUUCCAAUUGUGCAUGUUAACAGAUGGAUGGAAAGGAGCUUGAUUGAUACAUCAACUUGCAGGGUCUGGAGAAGGUUUUAUCUUGGCUGUGCCUAAGAACGGGGAGAAAGUACAGAAAAAUCCAGAAGUCACCUUUUCCAGAAGCCCCUUUUUCCUCCUCACUCCUCCAUGUGGCUGAUCCUCUUCUCAUCUAACUACGUUUCUCUUUUCCCCUCUACAGACACCAGAACAACUCCCACUGCUGCCCCUCACCCAUGACAUGGGAGACCAGCUCUCCCAGAGGCUUACUGGUUGCUUCACCUUGUCGCCCUUCUUGGCUUGAGCUUUGGCAUUUGCACCAGACCUGGGAUUCCACCAUGCCUAACCUCAGGCUGAAGCAGAGAUUAUGGGAGUAGAGAGGCUAAACUCUACCUGGCCUCCUGCUGAAGAAGCAAGAAGAUCUCCUUGUGUCCUCCUGCUCUUGGCCCUGGGACAUUGUCUGCACAAAGCCAGAGGAACUUCAAGAACUUCAAGCGAGAGCAGGGUGCUGCCGCUCGGGGAGCAGCUGCCCAUCUGCUGAGCCUCCUCUCCCCACCUCGGGCUGUUUGCUGGUGGACACGAACCCGCAACACUGGCAGCUGUGGCAAACAUUUGGUUAUCUGGCCCUUUGGUGCAAGUUGAAUUUUCUUACGUAUGUGCAAAAUGUGGAAAAAAAUACUGGCACCUGUGGUCAUCUGCAUGGGUGUGAGUCAGGUGCUGGGCAGAAGUUCAGCAGAAAAUACCCACCCUAAAAGUGGGAAAAUCUAGAGGCCUCCAUUUCUAUUUUGUGACACUUCUAUUUUUCAUGUCUGUGUUCUUUCUUCUUCUCUGGGGCUCUUUCCAGUAGCACGUGCUCUAUAAAUACAGAUUUAAGACAUGACCUCUAGUUAGAAGUUUUCUCUCUCUCCCUCCCAGACUGGACAGUCACAUUUCUUAUUUUCCCUUUUUUAGCUCUGAUGCUGUUGUUAGAGGCUUGGGGACACAGGUGCAUGUGUGGGAGAGCAGAGCCAUAGCCACAAGUUGCACACUCUUUGUUUUGCUGUUGGAAGACUUUCCUGUUUUACCUCCAUCCACAGCUAGAGAAAAACAUGGGGAUGCAGAAGAAUCCCUGUAUGACAGAGAUUAAAUAUGUUUCACCUCUUACAGCUGGCUUCAAAAGCUCAACACGCUGGAAAACUGUGAUGAGUCAGUAAUAACCGUGAAAAGAAAAUAGACAUGGUUCUUCUUAUGGUAGCGUUUCUAGGUCUGCUUUGUUUCAAGCCUCCCUUUUAGGAGAAAGUGGGAAAACAUUUUUUAAAAAAGCCCUGUCGUGGUUUUGUUAAAAAACAAGUUUCUGUUUUAGUGAAUUUGCCUGUCAGCUAAAGCCUUCGUAUUAGCUGCAUUUUCCUGGAGAACCAGAUACACAUUUUGGUAAACAUAGCAAUGGAAUGCAAACUUAUUGAUAAGCACGGAUGGACAUCUCACGAGAAGGGCAACGAGAAACAAGUAACCAAGGAACUGACCAACUGUGUAUAACAUCCCAUUCACGUGAAUACUUCAUAUAAAAGUGGGAGAUCACGAGGAUCUCGUCCCUUUUUCCCUUCUGCUUAUGGCCGAUAUUAGGAGAGGACCUUGCUAGUCGUCCCUGCGAACUGAAGCCUAGUGAGAGACUGAAUCCAUCUCCGGUUGGCUGCAGAGUUCAAUCCAGGGCUUUGGUUGCUGGCUCUGCAGUUGCUGAGACUUUCAAGAGUGGUUUUAUAUAUUUUGCAUUAUUUUCUCUGUUCUUAUUGGUAGCAUUAGUAAAACAUCUUGAAUUUUUCCAA